Molecule: long non-coding RNA, 779 nt
Organism: Peromyscus californicus insignis
Lineage: Eukaryota; Metazoa; Chordata; Mammalia; Rodentia; Cricetidae
Exons: 2
Source: RefSeq, a predicted model, not a curated record
GCGAGUUGCGCGCGCGCGCGCGUGCGUGCGUGCUGGGACUCGGCAGAGACAAGGAGUGGCUCAAUGGCGAUCCGCUGCUGCAGGCCUCCGGGUAGAGGCUGGAGAAGCUCGGCAAGUGGCUUGCUGUGUCACUCCCCGGUUGAAAACACAGCUGUUGCCCAGAAGUGGGUGUCUAAUGGAAGAGAUGACCUGGAGACUACACAGAGUCAAACGGUGAUGGGAAUCACUGUAGAAGCCUCAGUUUGCCCCAAGGGAGAUGGGAGUGAGGGGCCGAUUGCAGGAAGGCUUAGAGCGCACCAAGAGCUAGGGCCUCUGCGUGACAACCCCGGCUGUCCUGGAACUCACUUUGUAGAUCAGCCUGGCCUCGAACUCAAAGAGAUCCUCCAGCCCUCUACCUCCUGAGCUGGGAGCGUUGGAAUUAAAGGCGCUUACAUCCCGUUUCUUUGACAAUAAACGAGUUGAUGGAGAAAGAUGUAAUUACAGAUAGUGUAAGAGAGUUAGUCAAGGUCUUCUCUGUCCCAGAUCAAUCUGGAACUAUACUGCACCCAAGGAUGACCUUGAACUAAUGAUACUUCUGCCUCCACCUCCCAAGCCCUGAGAUUAACAGGCGCCACCAUGUAUGGUUUCUGAUAGGCUGGGGAUUGAACACAGGGCUUUGUUCAAGUUAGGCAGGUACUCUGCUGACUGAGCUACUCCCCAAUCUCAAUAAGAGAACUUCUUGGAGUAAUAGUCAUGUGGCUACUCAAUUCUACAUGUGAAUUAAACUCUGUAGAACUGUC